GCCGAAUCAAAACAAACCACUCACAGCUGAGAUCCUCGGCAAAGAAUGAUUCAGUAAAGACAGUCGCGGCCGUGUGCCUUUUAUGUUAGUUCAUUAUCAACCUCAAACAUUCGCGGAAAGUGUUGACAAAAUGUUUCUUACAACAGCAAGUGGAAUCUGUCUGUUAUUGUUUUCAGCGUCCUCGGUGGCCUUGGAUUUAAGCUGCAGUAUUAUUCAUUCGCUUCCCAUCGGUUCGGAGCGUUAUAAUUUUAACGCGAGGCAUGGAACCCCAGUACGCAGUCAGCAAACAUACGUUGAAGUGUGCAUAAUCGCGAGUGUGAACCUUAACAGCACAGACACCGAAGUGACUUUCCCGAAAAAUCAACACAUCGAGCUGUUCUACCCAUCGAUCCCGACAAUCGGAAGCAAUUUUUUUCGUCAGCUUGGUGAAGUUACCUUGAACUUGGAGCUACGCAAGGGCAACUUGAGUGAGUUACUGUUCGGCGAGAGUAAGCUAAACCAUCUGAAAAUUGGUGAUACUGGGCUGAGUAGGUUUGAAGUGGUGGACGAGUACGAUUCCAACCUUCAGACGCUAAUCAUUCACGAACGUCUGAUCACUGUUCUGCCUACGAGAGUGAAUUUACUUCGAGAGCUCCGAUCGCUGGACCUUUCCGGCUGUUCCCUAACGAUUGUAGAUCUAAGCCAACUGAAUGGAUUAAAUUUGUUGAAUGCCUUAGUGCUUGCCGACAAUCAGUUGUCGUCCGUGGAAGAUGGAGGUGUGGGUGUCAAUCUACCAGCGCUCAACAAGUUCGAUGUACAGCAAAACAAACUAUCGCGCAUCGAUCGCUUUCCGGAAAUGUUUCCCGCACUCAAGUUCACCCGUAUCAUGCAAAACCGCUGGGACUGUGAGUGGGUCAGUGAGGUGAGAGAUAAAAUCUGGCGAAAAAACAUCACCGUCCUGGGGACGGACUUUCGCUGUGGUCGUAGGAUCAACAACGGUGGGCUCUGCUGUACGUACGCGCAUCCCUUCCGAGCGCGUCUUGCAAUCGCCAAAGCGAUGCUCUCGGUUCUUGAUGAGCUAACUGCAACUUCGACCGGAGAUGGCACUGCUUCACAAUCGAUCGAUCCGCUGAUAACGUUCAAAGUGUACGAGAACGAGACGGUCGACGGUGUGAUUGGGGUGGAGACGCAAAACGUUGGAAUCUACUUGCAAAAUCCCAUCGGUGUUGUGUAAAUAAGUUUAUUCCGUGCCGAGUGCGUCCUUCCGACGAGUUGUUGUGUGCUUCAUGCUUCCAGUAACGAUAAGAGAUUGGCACGACGCAUAGUUCAUCAUCUGUGGGCAUCAGUAUAAUGCGUCCUUUAAUAUUCAUAUUACUUGUAGUGAUCCCAUGUUCAUUAGCCAUCAUUAAGAGGACGAUAGAGUGCUCCCGGGUGCAGCGUAAUUCAACAUGCUUCAUCGAGGGCGUCUCGUUUCAUACCCCGACGGAGGAGUACUUUACAGCGUUCCCAACCUCACCGCACAUAAUUAUAGAAUCGAGUGAAAUUCUACACUUCUCGGGCCAGCUGUUCGAUGCGCUCGCUGAGACCGCGUUCCUAACGCUGAAGGGCUCCCUGAUACCGACGGUUACCUUUCGCUCGGACGAACUACACUGUCUUCGGAUCGACAAUACGGGGCUGCGCGAGUUUGCGGUAACACCGUUCGAAAAUCGGAACCUCAACACGCUCAUCAUCAACGGAAAUCCUUUGUCGGCCAUUCCAUCCACCGUCCGCUACCUUACCGGGCUCUCGAUUCUGGACUUGUCGAACAAUCAGCUAGAACACGUCAAGCUUGACUGGUUUCAAACGAUGGAAAAUCUAUUGGUGCUUGAUCUUUCUGGGAAUAGAAUCACGCGGCUUGAUAUACCUCCGUCGUUGCGAUUUGGACGCUUGAAGAACUUCUGGGUCAAUCACAAUCUUCUAAGGCAUGUACCAUUUUUCCCCAACUUUGCACCUGCCUUACGACGUGUUCGGCUUGUCGAAAAUCGUUGGAGCUGUGAGUGGGUGGCCCAAGUUCGGCAGGCUAUUUGGACGGCGUCCAUUGAGGUGUACGGUGCGGAGUACGUGUGUCCGGAUAAAUUAGACGGGGGACUUUGCUGUUACGAGGAUUAUCUGUACCAUGGUACUGAUAUAGAGGUGGAACACGAAGCACGAAGGACAUACUUGGUUGAUAGAAUAGAGGUGGAACAAUUUCCUCGCGCUGAACGUAUGUUAGCCAGGGAUGAAAAUCGAGAGGAAAGACAACACAUGAUUCUGAAGCAUUCGUUCGACGUGCUGGAGCAGAAGUAUCGCCGAUUGGUCGAACAGAAGGAGCAGCUUGAGCAGCGAUUUGUCAACACGGUGCGUGAGUUAGAACGGACAGUGAAAAGAUUGACGGCAGAGUUAACAGAAGCGCAGGACACGAUUCGAGCCCAAAACCUUAAAAUUGUGUUAAGAUAAACAAUUACGGAAACCAAAACUCAAAUCUCCCCCUAAAAAUUCCGCUAAACUGUUAGCAUGUAGACAAAACUAAUGAAUAAUAAAACCACCAUCUAACCCAUCUGAGUGGUUAUGUUUAUA
Molecule: RNA transcript, 2574 nt
Organism: Anopheles stephensi (Asian malaria mosquito)
Lineage: Eukaryota; Metazoa; Arthropoda; Insecta; Diptera; Culicidae
Gene name: leucine-rich repeat-containing protein 40-like
Exons: 3
Source: RefSeq, a predicted model, not a curated record